AACGCGAGAUUACUUUAUGUAAGAUGUAAAUGAAACUUUUUAAAGAACUGGUACGCGAGAUGAACAAUCUACAGUAUAAAUGAAAGUCAUUUAAUGUGGUCGAUCGAACGUUGAAUAGAAAAUGAAAUGAAGUACGAAAACUACACUAGGCUUUUUCAGGAAGGCUGGUAGGGAUUCUACACGAGAUUGAGAUCUUGUCAGGAAGGGCUAAUGCUUUCAAGGUUAAACUUUGUGAAAGUAAAGCAUGUUUUACACUGGUCAAAGCUAGGGGUAAGCAUUAAUGAUCAGUGGCUAAUGCCUUAAGGGUUAAUGUGCUAAUGUAUAACGAAUACUUUUUUGUUUCUUAAUGAUCUCAAAAUCAGUAACUGGUGCAAAAAAAAUUUACUUGAUGUAAUAUGUUAAUAUUUUUCUCUGCAAUAUUCAAAUAAAUUAAGUGAAUUUUGUCUCUGGUA
Molecule: long non-coding RNA, 452 nt
Organism: Xenia sp. Carnegie-2017
Lineage: Eukaryota; Metazoa; Cnidaria; Anthozoa; Malacalcyonacea; Xeniidae
Exons: 2
Source: RefSeq, a predicted model, not a curated record